GUCUGGUGGCGAUGGCGAGAAGGUCACACCCGUUCCCAUCCCGAACACGGAAGUUAAGCUUCUCAGCGCCGAUGGUAGUUGGGGGUUUCCCCCUGUGAGAGUAGGACGCCGCCGGGC
RNAcentral lists this ribosomal RNA (117 nucleotides) under Mesobacillus selenatarsenatis. Lineage: Bacteria; Bacillati; Bacillota; Bacilli; Caryophanales; Bacillaceae. The record is from RNAcentral.